GAUGAACGCUGGCGGCGUGCCUAAUACAUGCAAGUCGAGCGAACAGACGAGGAGCUUGCUCCUCUGACGUUAGCGGCGGACGGGUGAGUAACACGUGGAUAUCCUACCUAUAAGACUGGGAUAACUUCGGGAAACCGGAGCUAAUACCGGAUAAUAUAUUGAACCGCAUGGUUCAAUAGUGAAAGACGGUUUUGCUGUCACUUAUAGAUGGAUCCGCGCCGCAUUAGCUAGUUGGUAAGGUAACGGCUUACCAAGGCAACGAUGCGUAGCCGACCUGAGAGGGUGAUCGGCCACACUGGAACUGAGACACGGUCCAGACUCCUACGGGAGGCAGCAGUAGGGAAUCUUCCGCAAAGGGCGAAAGCCUGACGGAGCAACGCCGCGUGAGUGAUGAAGGUCUUCGGAUCGUAAAACUCUGUUAUUAGGGAAGAACAAAUGUGUAAGUAACUAUGCACGUCUUGACGGUACCUAAUCAGAAAGCCACGGCUAACUACGUG
This 497-nucleotide ribosomal RNA is filed under the name uncultured bacterium. Its description in RNAcentral is "partial 16S ribosomal RNA". It matches the Rfam family "Bacterial small subunit ribosomal RNA", at positions 28 to 507 of the family's 1533-position model. The record is from RNAcentral.